Molecule: long non-coding RNA, 116 nt
Organism: Juglans microcarpa x Juglans regia
Lineage: Eukaryota; Viridiplantae; Streptophyta; Magnoliopsida; Fagales; Juglandaceae
Exons: 3
Source: RefSeq, a predicted model, not a curated record
AGUUUAGAAUCAGCAUCGACAGUUUAGAACCAAAAAUAUUCUUUGUCUCCACGUAUUGCUCUUUUCUCCGUUAUCUCAAAGCCUGACUGACUGGUGACAAAGAUGAAUUUGGCUAC